AAACUACUCCCUCCGUCCGAAAAUACUUGUCAUAAAAAUGGAUACAAAUGAAUGUAUCUAGAACUAAAAUACAUCUAGAUACAUUCAUUCUUCAGACAAGUAUUUCCUGACGGAGGGAGUAUUUG
Non-coding RNA from Triticum aestivum (bread wheat), 125 nucleotides. Lineage: Eukaryota; Viridiplantae; Streptophyta; Magnoliopsida; Poales; Poaceae. The record is from Rfam.